Molecule: long non-coding RNA, 270 nt
Filed under: Marmota monax (woodchuck)
Lineage: Eukaryota; Metazoa; Chordata; Mammalia; Rodentia; Sciuridae
Source: RNAcentral
CACACACUCAUUCAGCUCUCUGUGGGCACUCUUUGGUGUUUCUUUGUGAAUGUACCUUAAGCUGAAGCAUGAAAAACAAUUUACCCAUGAGCACUUUAAGAAAAAAAAACAGGGAAAUAUGAAUGUACUAAAAUACCUCCCACAAUUUUUCAUCAAAUUUCUUUGAUACUGCACAAGAUUCAUCUGUUAAGUUGUGCCGCUAGGCUCCCCAAGUUUGAGACUUCUAUGAUCAUAGGUACUCUAAACAGGUUAGAAUUAGGAUAGGGUUGG